Molecule: small nucleolar RNA, 142 nt
Organism: Danio rerio (zebrafish)
Lineage: Eukaryota; Metazoa; Chordata; Actinopteri; Cypriniformes; Danionidae
Source: Ensembl
CACGCACACUGUUAAAACCUCACACUAAUGUUGGUGUUAAGGUGUCGGAAGUGUGCUAGAGUGAUUCAGCCGGGAUUUCGCUAACACCAGUAGGGCUGUUACGCCCCUUGACUGGAGUUUGAUAGCAACCUGAGCUACAUUU